CCUACGGGGGGCUGCAGUGGGGAAUAUUGGACAAUGGGCGAAAGCCUGAUCCAGCCAUGCCGCGUGUGUGAAGAAGGCCUUCGGGUUGUAAAGCACUUUCAGUGGGGAAGAAAGCCUUGGGGCUAAUACCCUCGAGGAAGGACAUCACCCACAGAAGAAGCACCGGCUAACUCCGUGCCAGCAGCCGCGGGAAUACGGAGGGUGCGAGCGUUAAUCGGAAUUACUGGGCGUAAAGCGCGCGUAGGCGGUCUGAUAAGCCGGUUGUGAAAGCCCCGGGCUCAACCUGGGAACGGCAUCCGGAACUGUCAGGCUUGAGUGCAGGAGAGGAAGGUAGAAUGCCCUGUGUAGCGGUGAAAUGCGUAGAGAUCGGGAGGAAUACCAGUGGCGAAGGCGGCCUUCUGGACUGACACUGACGCUGAGGUGCGAAAGCGUGGGUAGCAAACAGGAUUAGAUACCCCUGUAGUC
RNAcentral lists this ribosomal RNA (465 nucleotides) under Vreelandella stevensii. Its description in RNAcentral is "partial 16S ribosomal RNA". It matches the Rfam family "Bacterial small subunit ribosomal RNA", at positions 338 to 795 of the family's 1533-position model. The record is from RNAcentral. Lineage: Bacteria; Pseudomonadati; Pseudomonadota; Gammaproteobacteria; Oceanospirillales; Halomonadaceae.